ACGUAGGUGGCAAGCGUUGUCCGGAAUUAUUGGGCGUAAAGCGCGCGCAGGCGGUCUCUUAAGUCUGAUGUGAAAUCUCGCGGCUCAACCGCGAGCGGUCAUUGGAAACUGGGGGACUUGAGUGCAGAAGAGGAAAGUGGAAUUCCACGUGUAGCGGUGAAAUGCGUAGAGAUGUGGAGGAACACCAGUGGCGAAGGCGACACGCUGGGCCGUACCUGACACUGAUGCGCGACAGCAUGGGGAGCAAACAGGA
RNAcentral lists this ribosomal RNA (253 nucleotides) under uncultured prokaryote. Its description in RNAcentral is "partial 16S ribosomal RNA". It matches the Rfam family "Bacterial small subunit ribosomal RNA", at positions 525 to 777 of the family's 1533-position model. The record is from RNAcentral.